UACGUAGGGAGCAAGCGUUGUCCGGAAUCAUUGGGCGUAAAGAGCGUGUAGGCGGCCCGGUAAGUCCGCUGUGAAAGUCCAGGGCUCAACCCUGGGAUGCCGGUGGAUACUGUCGGGCUCGAGUCCGGAAGAGGAGUGUGGAAUUCCUGGUGUAGCGGUGGAAUGCGCAGAUAUCAGGAGGAACACCAAUGGCGAAGGCAGCUCUCUGGUACGUGACUGACGCUGAGACGCGAAAGCGUGGGGAGCAAACAGG
This 253-nucleotide ribosomal RNA is filed under the name uncultured bacterium. RNAcentral's name for it is "partial 16S ribosomal RNA". It matches the Rfam family "Bacterial small subunit ribosomal RNA", at positions 524 to 776 of the family's 1533-position model. The record is from RNAcentral.